GUGCCAGCAGCCGCGGUAAUACGUAGGGUGCGAGCGUUGUCCGGAAUUAUUGGGCGUAAAGAGCUCGUAGGCGGUGUGUCGCGUCGGUCGUGAAAACUUGGGGCUUAACUCUGAGCUUGCGGUCGAUACGGGCAUCACUUGAGUUCGGCAGGGGAGACUGGAAUUCCUGGUGUAGCGGUGAAAUGCGCAGAUAUCAGGAGGAACACCGGUGGCGAAGGCGGGUCUCUGGGCCGAUACUGACGCUGAGGAGCGAAAAGCGUGGGGGAGCGAACAGGAUUAGAUACCCUGGUUAGUCC
Molecule: ribosomal RNA, 296 nt
Filed under: uncultured microorganism
Description: partial 16S ribosomal RNA
Rfam family: Bacterial small subunit ribosomal RNA
Source: RNAcentral